This 255-nucleotide ribosomal RNA is filed under the name uncultured bacterium. RNAcentral describes it as "partial 16S ribosomal RNA". It matches the Rfam family "Bacterial small subunit ribosomal RNA", at positions 524 to 776 of the family's 1533-position model. The record is from RNAcentral.
UACGUAGGGGGCAAGCGUUGUCCGGAAUCAUUGGGCGUAAAGCGCGCGUAGGCGGCCCGGUAAGUCCGAUUGAUGAAAGUCAAAGGCUCAACCUUUGAACGCCGAUGGAUACUGCCGGGCUAGAGUCCGGAAGAGGCGAGUGGAAUUCCUGGUGUAGCGGUGGAAUGCGCAGAUAUCAGGAGGAACACCAAUAGCGAAGGCAGCUCGCUGGGACGGUACUGACGCUGAGGCGCGAAAGCGUGGGGAGCGAACAGG